Long non-coding RNA from Lagenorhynchus albirostris (white-beaked dolphin), 998 nucleotides. RefSeq lists it as uncharacterized. The transcript is spliced from 5 exons. The record is from RefSeq and is a predicted model, not a curated record. Lineage: Eukaryota; Metazoa; Chordata; Mammalia; Artiodactyla; Delphinidae.
CUGGAGGGGCGCGUUUACGGGUUUUCGAAGUGGUGCGGGGGUACUCGGCGGGAGCGAGGUCACGCUCCAGAUUCCUAACCUGCUAUCUGCUGGGCGGAGCCUCUGAGUUUAGCUGAGUCUCGGAGAUGGAAUUGGGGCAGGCGCUUGUCACAUAAAGUCCGUGCCCUGCUCGCGGGCUCCUGUCGCAACACUGACAAACCCGGGAGCCUUCGUGAGAGUGCAAAAAUGAGAGAUGAGGCACCAGAGGUCCCCAGGGCGCAAAUCUGAAAGCCAGCGCCUCCUGAGCACAGGCUGCCAGGGGCGAGACGACAUUAGACAUUGCCCCCCAGAUAUAAGAAGCAUCGCUUCCUUCAGACAGAGCAGAUUGAUAGAUGAAGCAUAAAACAAGACCAGAUGCUGUGGAUUCCAGGAUGCACUUGGCUUCCCAUCCUUUAUGACCUGGAGCAUUUUUUGCCUUCAUGGAUCUCCAGAUGAAGAGGAACAGCAUCUGAAAUGCCUCAUUCACAUCUGGGCCUAGUGUGUAUGACUAGAUCCUAGACCUUACAGCCAAUGCUAUACAGAAUGCCACUCCUUCCAUUAAGAAGUGAGACUCCUCUCCCCUUGGAUCUGGGCUGGCCUUGUGACUUGCUUUGGCCAAGAGAAUAGAAUGAAAGUGAUAUCCUGGGACUUCUGAACCAUGCCUUGGAGAGGGCUUGAAGCCUCUGCUUUCUUCCUCUUGGGAUUCAGUCACUGUGCAAAGAUGCUUGGGCUGGACCACUGAAUGAUGAACGGUCACACGAAGAGAGGGAGGCCCCCAGGCAUUUCAGGUGCUCCAGCUGAGGUGCCAGACAUGUGGGGAAUGUCACAGACAUUCCAGCCCUAGCCAAAGUCAUAGCUGAACGUAACCACAUGUCUGACCCAGCUGACAUCAUGGGGGAGCUGAAGAACUGUCCAGCUGUAACCUUCCCAAAUUGCAAAAUUGUGAGAAAAUAAAUGGUGGUUGUUCUUUUAAGCCACCA